AUUCCUGGGGGAGCCCUGCAUGGGCUGAGAUUCCGCGGCAACGCGGUAACCCUUUGAACCUGAUCCGGGUAAUGCCGGCGAAGGGAAGGA
Molecule: non-coding RNA, 90 nt
Filed under: Achromobacter mucicolens
Lineage: Bacteria; Pseudomonadati; Pseudomonadota; Betaproteobacteria; Burkholderiales; Alcaligenaceae
Description: TPP riboswitch (THI element)
Rfam family: TPP riboswitch aptamer (THI element)
About the family: Vitamin B(1) in its active form thiamin pyrophosphate (TPP) is an essential coenzyme that is synthesised by coupling of pyrimidine and thiazole moieties in bacteria. The previously detected thiamin-regulatory element, thi box was extended, resulting in a new, highly conserved RNA secondary structure, the THI element, which is widely distributed in eubacteria and also occurs in some archaea.
Source: RNAcentral